This is a non-coding RNA of Chiloscyllium plagiosum (whitespotted bambooshark), 758 nucleotides long. The record is from RefSeq and is a predicted model, not a curated record. NCBI's taxonomy places the organism in Eukaryota, Metazoa, Chordata, Chondrichthyes, Orectolobiformes, Hemiscylliidae.
CAUCAUACUGAGCUUGGAUUCAAGACAGAGAGAGUCAAGGAAAAUGCAAAGCCAAUAACUGUCUUCAGGCUUUGACUUCAAAAUAACAUAUUUUAUCAUACAUUAGCACUAAAUAUUGUCCUACAAUUGAAGAUAUAUUUGUCGCUGAUCUAAGAGUUACAUUAGCUUAAGUCUGGAGGGCUUCUGGCAUCUACGGAUGCCAGAUGUCUUUUCUCCUCAUCCCCAAAGGCUACCAUCGCAGCAUCUGAGAAGCUGUCCCUUGACUCCAGGAUGACAUUUACUCAGGAAUGUGCUUUUCCACUGUGGCUGUCCAUGUGAUUGAUCAGGCUGAUUCUCCACCUCCAGAUCAUUGGACACAGAGCAAGAUUUCCCACAAGAUACUCAGAUCCAGAGUACUGAGGAGAAUUCGAAAUAGGACCAGGUGUAAGCCAUUCAGUCUCUUGAGUCUCUUCUGCCACUCCAUAAGAUCAUGCUGACAAGUUCGAAGUUCAAAUUUCACCUUCCCAUAUACUUCUGAUGUUCUUUGAAUCUCUUGCCUAACAAGAAACUAUCCACUUUUGACUUAAAAAUUUUAAUGUCCCUGCUUCCAUUAACUUCUAAGGCAGAAAAUUUCAAUGUUGCACAAACCGUCUCUGUUCAAGAGCUGACCUCCUAAUUUUCAAAUGUGCCCCCUGCUUGUGGACUCACCCACAUCAGAAAACAUCAUCUAUUCAUGAAGAAAUUAUUCCUUUUAUGUAGUUACCUUUCUGGGUUUGUUU